GACGAACGCUGGCGGCGUGCUUAACACAUGCAAGUCGAACGGUAAGGCCCUUCGGGGUACACGAGUGGCGAACGGGUGAGUAACACGUGGGUGAUCUGCCCUGCACUUCGGGAUAAGCCUGGGAAACUGGGCCUAAUACCGGAUAGGACUCCGGACUGCAUGGUCUGGGGUGGAAAGCUUUUGCGGUGUGGGAUGGGCCCGCGGCCUAUCAGCUUGUUGGUGGGGUGAUGGCCUACCAAGGCGACGACGGGUAGCCGGCCGGAGAGGGUGACCGGCCACACUGGGACUGAGAUACGGCCCAGACUCCUACGGGAGGCAGCAGUGGGGAAUAUUGCACAAUGGGCGCAAGCCUGAUGCAGCGACGCCGCGUGAGGGAUGACGGCCUUCGGGUUGUAAACCUCUUUCAGCAUCGACGAAGCGAAAGUGACGGUAGGUGCAGAAGAAGGACCGGCCAACUACGUGCCAGCAGCCGCCGUAA
This 478-nucleotide ribosomal RNA is filed under the name uncultured bacterium. RNAcentral describes it as "partial 16S ribosomal RNA". It matches the Rfam family "Bacterial small subunit ribosomal RNA", at positions 28 to 523 of the family's 1533-position model. The record is from RNAcentral.